Molecule: small nucleolar RNA, 132 nt
Organism: Arvicanthis niloticus (Nile rat)
Lineage: Eukaryota; Metazoa; Chordata; Mammalia; Rodentia; Muridae
Product: small nucleolar RNA SNORA17
Source: RefSeq, a predicted model, not a curated record
UUUUCCCCUAGAGGUGUUGUAGGUGUGGCUGCAGUGUCACAUGUGCAUCAGUAUAUGGAAGAGAGGAGAGAGACUAUGUCUAUGUUUAGUGUUCAGUCCUAUGAAAAUCUGAAUGCUUGGUAGCCUAACAUA